This 253-nucleotide ribosomal RNA is filed under the name uncultured bacterium. Its description in RNAcentral is "partial 16S ribosomal RNA". It matches the Rfam family "Bacterial small subunit ribosomal RNA", at positions 524 to 776 of the family's 1533-position model. The record is from RNAcentral.
AACGUAGGUGGCGAGCGUUAUCCGGAUUUACUGGGCGUAAAGAGCGCGCAGGCGGUCGAUUAAGUCGAGUGUGAAAGCCCCCGGCUCAACUGGGGAGGGUCAUUCGAUACUGAUCGACUCGAAGGCAGGAGAGGGUAGUGGAAUUCCCGGUGUAGUGGUGAAAUGCGUAGAUAUCGGGAGGAACACCAGUGGCGAAGGCGGCUACCUGGCCUGUUCUUGACGCUGAGGCGCGAAAGCUAGGGGAGCAAACGGG